GAUGAACGCUGGCGGCGUGCUUAACACAUGCAAGUCGAACGGAAAGGCCCAAGCUUGCUUGGGUACUCGAGUGGCGAACGGGUGAGUAACACGUGGGUGAUCUGCCCUGCACUUCGGGAUAAGCCUGGGAAACUGGGUCUAAUACCGGAUAGGACCACUUCUUGGAUGUUGUGGUGGAAAGUUUUUUCGGUGUGGGAUGAGCUCGCGGCCUAUCAGCUUGUUGGUGGGGUAAUGGCCUACCAAGGCGUCGACGGGUAGUCGGCCUGAGAGGGUGUACGGCCACAUUGGGACUGAGAUACGGCCCAGACUCCUACGGGAGGCAGCAGUGGGGAAUAUUGCACAAUGGGCGCAAGCCUGAUGCAGCGACGCCGCGUGGGGGAUGACGGCCUUCGGGUUGUAAACUCCUUUCGCUAGGGACGAAGCGUUUUGUGACGGUACCUGGAGAAGAAGCACCGGCUAACUACGUG
Molecule: ribosomal RNA, 467 nt
Filed under: uncultured bacterium
Lineage: Bacteria
Description: partial 16S ribosomal RNA
Rfam family: Bacterial small subunit ribosomal RNA
Source: RNAcentral